CCUACGGGUGGCAGCAGUGGGGAAUAUUGCACAAUGGGGGAAACCCUGAUGCAGCGACGCCGCGUGAAGGAAGAAGUAUUUCGGUAUGUAAACUUCUAUCAGCAGGGAAGAAAAUGACGGUACCUGACUCAGAAGCCCCGGCUUACUACGUGCCAGCAGCCGCGGUAAUACGUCGGGGGCAGGCGUUAUCCGGAUUUACUGGGUGUAAAGGGAGCGUAGGCGGUUCAGCAAGUCCGGAGUGAAAGCCCGGGGGUCAACCCCCGGAGUGCUUUUGAAACUGGCGAACUAGAUUGCAGGAGAGGUACGUGGAAUGCGCGGUGUAGCGGUGAAAUGCGUAGAUAUUAGGAGGAACACCAGUGGCGAAGGCAGCGUACUGGACUGUAAAUGACGCUGAGGCACGAAAGCGUGGGGAGCAAACAGGAUUAGAUACCCGAGUAGUC
This 440-nucleotide ribosomal RNA is filed under the name uncultured bacterium. RNAcentral's name for it is "partial 16S ribosomal RNA". It matches the Rfam family "Bacterial small subunit ribosomal RNA", at positions 338 to 795 of the family's 1533-position model. The record is from RNAcentral.